UACGUAGGGGCCUAGCGUUGUCCGGAUUUAUUGGGCGUAAAGAGCUCGUAGGCGGUUCGGUAAGUCAGGUGUGAAAUCUCCACGCUCAACGUGGAGGGGCCACCUGAUACUGCCGUGACUCGAGUCCGGUAGGGGAGUGUGGAAUUCCCGGUGUAGCGGUGAAAUGCGCAGAUAUCGGGAGGAACACCAGUAGCGAAGGCGGCACUCUGGGCCGAUACUGACGCUGAGGAGCGAAAGCGUGGGGAGCGAACAGG
This 254-nucleotide ribosomal RNA is filed under the name uncultured bacterium. RNAcentral's name for it is "partial 16S ribosomal RNA". It matches the Rfam family "Bacterial small subunit ribosomal RNA", at positions 524 to 776 of the family's 1533-position model. The record is from RNAcentral.